This 204-nucleotide long non-coding RNA is filed under the name Erythranthe guttata (spotted monkey flower). Its description in RNAcentral is "long non-coding RNA (EGUT_LNC001154)". The record is from RNAcentral. Lineage: Eukaryota; Viridiplantae; Streptophyta; Magnoliopsida; Lamiales; Phrymaceae.
UCAAGCUUGGAGUUUUGAAAACGUUGAGGGAAGGGUACCUUGGGAGUAGAUUCACUUACUGUGAUCUUUGUGUUGCUUGGCCCGACCUCGGUUUUUUCCUUGGGCUCCUCUACAAUAGGCGGUGGUGCAACAGACUUUUUAGGAACUUCCUCUAAUUGCCUCCCAUUUCGCAAACUCACUGCAUUGCACUGCUCGAUGUUGCUC